RNAcentral lists this non-coding RNA (148 nucleotides) under Chlorocebus sabaeus (green monkey). The record is from Rfam by way of RNAcentral. Lineage: Eukaryota; Metazoa; Chordata; Mammalia; Primates; Cercopithecidae.
GCUGGGCAUGGUGGCGUAUGCCUGUAAUCCCAGCUACUAGGGAGGUUGAGACAGGAGAAUCACUUGAACCCAGGAGGCGAAGGUUGCAGUGAGCCGAGAUUGUGCCACUGCACUCCAGCCUGGGUGACAGAGUGAGACUGUGUCUCAA